AGGGACGUGCUGGGCUGUAGAGCUUGGCUGGGGUCCCCACCUGGCCCAUGAGGGUCCUCAGGCUGUCUAUGCCCACACACCUCACAGUCUGCUCCCUCCUCAGCUCGUGUUCCUAGGACUCUGGGCAGCAGAAGAGAUGAGCUCCUCGCUGCUGCUGACCUGCGAUUCUCAGGCCAGCUUGGUGGUUGACGUCUAUGGCCAGAACCAGGCAGUCAGCUACACUACUCCAAGGGUGAGGUUCAGAGCACGUUUGCCUUGGGCGUGGAGGAGCAUCAUUUUCACAUCAGCACCCAUCUGGCAGCUGCUAAGGCCAGUCUCACCAACUUCAUGAAGCUGGAACAUUCCUUCCUGCAGGUGCUGGUCUCCUCCUCCCUAUGGCUGGGGAAAAGUGACCUGGCUGCCCACCUGGCCCUGGCUCACCCAUUCAAUGCCUCCUGGCAGCAAGCUGAGGCAAGUGGCCUUGCUGAGAGCAGGUGUGGCAGGCAGAACUGGCAGGUACAGCUCACCUGGAACAGAGGACAGCCUGUGACUCUGCAACUCGCCUGGGCAGACAGGUUCUCAGCACACAGCACCACCUGGGAUGGCUGCCUGGCUGCCUCCCCGGGGCAGGUUUGUGGAGUCUGGCCGCUGUGCCCAGUGUGGGGCUCCCCUUUGCUACAGGCUUCUUGGCUGCC
Long non-coding RNA from Callithrix jacchus (white-tufted-ear marmoset), 674 nucleotides. RefSeq lists it as uncharacterized. The record is from RefSeq and is a predicted model, not a curated record. Lineage: Eukaryota; Metazoa; Chordata; Mammalia; Primates; Cebidae.